RNAcentral lists this ribosomal RNA (252 nucleotides) under uncultured bacterium. RNAcentral describes it as "partial 16S ribosomal RNA". It matches the Rfam family "Bacterial small subunit ribosomal RNA", at positions 524 to 776 of the family's 1533-position model. The record is from RNAcentral.
UACGUAGGGGGCUAGCGUUGUCCGGAAUCAUUGGGCGUAAAGGGUACGUAGGCGGAUAAGCAAGUUAGAAGUGAAAUCCUAUAGCUCAACUAUAGUAAGCUUUUAAAACUGCUCAUCUUGAGGUAUGGAAGGGAAAGUGGAAUUCCUAGUGUAGCGGUGACAUGCGUAGAUAUUAGGAGGAAUACCAGUAGCGAAGGCGACUUUCUGGACACAUACUGACGCUGAGGUACGAAAGCGUGGGGAGCAAACAGG